Molecule: ribosomal RNA, 406 nt
Filed under: uncultured bacterium
Lineage: Bacteria
Description: partial 16S ribosomal RNA
Rfam family: Bacterial small subunit ribosomal RNA
Source: RNAcentral
AUAGAACGCUGGCGGCAGGCCUAACACAUGCAAGUCUAACAAGUGGCGGACGGGUGAGUAAUGUCUGGGAAACUGCCUGAUGGAGGGGGAUAACUACUGGAAACGGUAGCUCAUACCGCAUACCAUCGGAUGUGCCCAGAUGGGAUUAGCUAGUAGGGGGGGUAAAGGCUCACCUAGGCGACGAUCCCUAGCUGGUCUGAGAGGAUGACCAGCCACACUGGAUGUGAGACACGGUCCAGACGCGUAGGGGAGGCAGCAGUGGGGAAUAUUGCACAAUGGGCGCAAGCCUGAUGCAGCCAUGCGGCGUGUAUUAAGAAGGCCUUCGGGGUGUAAAGUACUUGCAGCGGGGAGGCGUGACCCGCAGAAGAAGCACCGGCUAACUCCGUGCCAGCAGACGCGGUAAUAC